CAUGCUGUAGGCUCCAGCCUGGGAACUGCUGAGACCCUGGAUGGUGGAAGCCAGAGAUGUUGACACCUGGGUGAAUACCCAAGCUCCUGCAGACGUCCCAGGAGUGAUGGAGCUGCAGAGGCAGAAGAUCCCAAAGACCUUGGAGAUGCCAGGACCAUUACACCAGGGACAGGAUACAGAUUAACACAGCUGCUACUCUGAGAAGUGAAAUAGAAAACCUGGCUCAAUGCUUUAUUGAAGAUAACUGGAAAGGGACAGGGGUCAUCAGCACUUGCAGGUGGAGUGAAACCCACACUUAACUCAGUCCCCUACAGCACAAGCGAAUGCAAUAGAUGUUUUGAGCAUGAAAGUUAGCCACCAAAGCCAAAUCACUUUGAGGCAGAAGGAAAGUUUAAAUAAAUGUAGAUUUGAAUGUAAAGAAUCCCUCUC
Molecule: long non-coding RNA, 429 nt
Organism: Mauremys reevesii (Reeves's turtle)
Lineage: Eukaryota; Metazoa; Chordata; Testudines; Geoemydidae
Exons: 2
Source: RefSeq, a predicted model, not a curated record